RNAcentral lists this ribosomal RNA (373 nucleotides) under uncultured bacterium. RNAcentral describes it as "bacterial SSU rRNA". It matches the Rfam family "Bacterial small subunit ribosomal RNA", at positions 524 to 898 of the family's 1533-position model. The record is from RNAcentral.
UACGUAGGGGGCGAGCGUUAUCCGGAAUUAUUGGGCGUAAAGAGUGCGUAGGUGGUUUUGUAAGCGCAGGGUUUAAGGCAAUAGCUUAACUAUUGUCCGCCUUGUGAACUGUGAGACUUGAGUGCAGGAGAGGAAAGUGGAAUUCCUAGUGUAGCGGUGAAAUGCGUAGAUAUUAGGAGGAACACCAGUGGCGAAGGCGACUUUCUGGACUGUAACUGACACUGAGGCACGAAAGCGUGGGGAGCAAACAGGAUUAGAUACCCUGGUAGUCCACGCCGUAAACGAUGAGCACUAGGUGUCGGGGUCGCAAGACUUCGGUGCCGCAGUUAACGCAUUAAGUGCUCCGCCUGGGGAGUACGCACGCAAGUGUAAA